CAUCGAUAAGCGUCGUGUAAAACGAACACGUUAAUACUCAAUUUUCAGCUUGCGCUUAAUUGGCUAAAGUCUAGACGAGAAUAUUUUGCAUUACAUAAGAUGAUGGACUGAAAGCUGCUAGUUUCUUUGUGGUUGUUCGUAUACCAGCUUCGAGAGAUGUCUGACGACGAUCUUUUUGAACAGACAGGGCAGUACGAACCCGUCACAACUCGCAUUCGUAAUAUACUCCGUGAG
Dendronephthya gigantea is the source of this 234-nucleotide long non-coding RNA. RefSeq lists it as uncharacterized. The record is from RefSeq and is a predicted model, not a curated record. The transcript has 3 exons. Lineage: Eukaryota; Metazoa; Cnidaria; Anthozoa; Malacalcyonacea; Nephtheidae.